RNAcentral lists this ribosomal RNA (119 nucleotides) under Pteropus alecto (black flying fox). Lineage: Eukaryota; Metazoa; Chordata; Mammalia; Chiroptera; Pteropodidae. The record is from RNAcentral.
GUCUACGGCCAUGCUACCCUGAACAAGCCCGAUCCCGUCUGAUCUCAGAAGCUAACCAGUGUUGGGCCUGGUUAGUACUUGGAUGGGAGACCAUCUAGGAUCACCAGGUGCUGUAGGCA